Molecule: ribosomal RNA, 403 nt
Filed under: uncultured prokaryote
Description: bacterial SSU rRNA
Rfam family: Bacterial small subunit ribosomal RNA
Source: RNAcentral
UGAGGAAUAUUGGGCAAUGGGCGGAAGCCUGACCCAGCAACGCCGCGUGAAGGAUGAAGGCCUUCGGGUUGUAAACUUCUUUUAUGGGGGAAGAGAGAGGACGGUACCCCAGGAAUAAGUCACGGCUAACUACGUGCCAGCAGCCGCGGUAAUACGUAGGUGACAAGCGUUAUCCGGAAUUACUGGGCGUAAGGCGCACGCAGGCGGCUGCUUAAGUCUGACGUGAAAUCUCCUGGCUUAACUGGGAGGGGUCGUUGGAAACUGAGUAGCUUGAGGCAGUGAGAGGGGUGUAGAAUUCCCGGUGUAGUGGUGGAAUGCGUAGAUAUCGGGAGGAAUACCAGAGGCGAAGGCGACACCCUGGCACUGGCCUGACGCUCAUGUGCGAAAGCGUGGGGAGCGAACG